AAAUCAAAUUUUUAUAGAUAAUUCCAAAAGCGACAGCAUUUCCAGUACCGUAUCCAUUAAGUACCUACGUGGUAGAAGUACAAAGCCUUCCAUAUACAAAACCAUACAACAAGGGUGCUGUAGAAAAAAUUGUCAAAACUCCAGGUAAGUAUUUUUGAAGAGGACAAUGAAUCGAUAAUCUAACAACCUUAACAAUUAUUCAUGAACCGAAGUGGAGGUGCAAGAUACUGCAAGGAUAUUCACGGAAAUGCGAAACGUUAAUGGCAAAUUGUUUGAGAACAGGCCACAACAAAAAAAUGACCAAAAAAGAAUUAAUUCAUUUUAGAACAAUUCUUAUUUCAGCUACCGUAAUAGUUGUAAACAAAACAGCAUUUAAACUUUUUUUAUCAAUCAAAGAAAACUUUGUGGCUUUCUUCGUGUUUGGCGAAACCCCAUGAGCUUCGUUUAGCACAAAAAUUUGUUCGUCUGUAAUCGCGAAACGAAAUUAACUGGAAGGCCAUUCUUUUGUCCGGAGGUGCUUGAGCAACCAAUCAAUUUGCGCGAAAAGCACUAUCCACCUCCCGAGUAUAUACUGACAUGUAUUACUCCUUAAAGAAUUUACAGCUAUUUCAUUUAAGGUUGUCACAAGCAAUAGUCAAUUGUAUAAUCCAAGCGCCAAAACUACAAUGGGAAUAAGAUAUUUUAUAGAGUAAAAUGUACUAUAAAUCAUAUACUCUGGGACUGGGAGUAGCCCAAACAAAAAGGAGCUAGGCUAUGCAUGGCCAAUAGGCUAUACAGCUAAAAAUGCUAAAAUUUGAUAUGUCUAUCUUCCUGUUCACGCUUGGCAAUCGUUUGAAAAAUAGUAACGUAACAUAUACAAUCUGGUUUAGGAUGGUGUGAUUUAAGAAGUAUUGAAGUCUGUUGUGGUAAGUGCAUGUAAAAUAUUUGCUUUAUUAUAAGCAUUGGCGUACGGGGCUGAUGCUUUCCGGAGGGGGGGGGGCACUUGAAAGUUUGGCCAAAUUUUUAUGGAGAACUGUAAUGAAAUUACCUGAAUUUAACUUAUUUUUUGAUAAAUCUGCCCGAAUUUUCUUGAUUUUUUCUAGCAUUUGCCCGAAUUUCCAUGGCUUUCCAAAAAUUUUUUGAGGGAGGGGUCAGUUGCUCCCCCUGUCCCCUGUCUCGUACGCCUAUGAUUAUACAGUAUAUUUAGUAUCGAACUUUCCCUUAGCCUCAUUUUAAUAAUAUAUUCUUUUAUUUUUUAUAAUGACCAAUAACAAGGCUUAAAUUUUUAAUUUAAUUUAAUACGACGUUUCGGAGUUUAUUCUAUCAUCAGGUAAAAAACUACAAUUUGCGAUCUAAACAAGUUAAAACUAUAAUACAACGUUUGUAACCGUUGCAUGCUCGCGUGCAAGGUUGCGCAAGCAUAUAGAUUGCGUGUCCGAGAAAAAUUAAAUUACAAUUAGAAUUACAAUAAUUAGAUUAAUAAGGACUGCAAUUACUAUAGUCUGUGUUUAUUUCCACUACAAAGUCCAAAAUACUCAGCUCUUCAUAUUUUCCAUUCAAAUCCGGUUUAAGUUGCUGGAUAAACAAAGCUUCCGUAAUUUUCCGCUCCAAAGAUCCCAUUGUUUUUUUACCACUGUGAAGUCGCAUGAGAUUCAACAUGACGUUCAACAUGAUAUUCGAUAUUGUGUAAAUUAACUAAAUUCAAUCACUCAAAAGUCAAAAUGACUAAUACAGCCAUUUCUUCUCUCCCAAAUGAAUUAGAAAAAAAACCCAUGCAGGUCACAUUAGCUAACUAGUACCUUUAUGGUUUUCUGCAAAAAACCAACAAAAACGUCUCUCGAUCAAGGCACUGCAAAACGAUACUUUCCUAACAGCUAUCCACACUGCCAAUAAAUAUUAAAUACAACUUGCCACGAAUUUUAAACUAUAAAUUUCUAAUUAAUAUGCGCGCUAAUUAAUUAGUAUUCGCUUACAGCUAAUACCGUUCAGUUUGCGGCUGAAUUUAGAUUGUUUCUAGACCUAAGCCACCUAAAGUUCAACAACCAGUAAGUAGAGGAGAUAAAUUUGUACAAGAUAUGAAAGUUUAAAAAAAUCCUAUAGAAUAGCAGUGGAGAAAUUUAUAUAGUUGAACUUUCUAUUCUUGUCAUUGCGUGCACGCUAUAAUUAGUAUUCGCUUACAGCUAAUACCGUUCAGUUUGCGGCUGAAUUUCGAUUGUUUCUAGAUCUAAGCUACCUAAGGUUCAACAAAUAGUGGAUAGAGCGGAUAAAUUUGCACAAGAUAUGAAAGUUUUAAAAAAUCCUAUAGAAUAGCAGAGGAGAAAUUUAUAGUUUAACAUGCUAUUCUUGUCAGUGCGUGCGCGCUAAUUAAUUAGUAUUCGCUUACAGCUAAUACCGUUCAGUUUGCGGUUGAAUUUCGAUUGUUUCUGGACCUAAGCCACCUAAGGUUUAACAACCAGUGGAUACACCAGAUAAAUUUGUACAAGAUAGGAAAGUUUUAAAAAAUCGUAUCGAAUAGGAGCGAAUAAAUUUAUAGUUUAACAUGCUAUCAGUUGUCAGUGUGUGCGCGCUACUAUUAAUUCGUAUUCGCUUACAGCUAAUACCAUUCAGUUUGCGGCUGAAUUUCGAUUGUUUCUAGACCUAAGCCACCUAAAGUUCAAGCACGGCUGUAAAUACUCGUUACAAUUGUAACGCGUUACUGUGUACUCGUUACAUUUGAAGUAAUUUUAACCUGUAAUUAAUUACGUUUUUAGAAAUGUAACGAAAAACGUAAUUAAUUACAAAAGCAAGGAACGUGUUCCUUUUCCAAGGAGCAAAUUGAAAAUUCUUUUUCUUAUUUUGUAAAAACAAGAAAUAAAAAAUACAGCGUUACAACAAAAAUUCCGAAAAAUGGCUGAACUAAUUUUCAACGGAUCACAUGACAUGAUAGCUUACAUGAAGUAGUACUAUUUAUUGCGAAAGUGGAAACCACAAUUUGUUCCGAGGCUCCGAAGCUUAAGUUUACAUGCUUCGAUUUGCAUGUCAAAUGUUUUAAUAUAUUGAAAUAUCAUCUUGAUAAAUUUUUGCAAAUUUCAUAGUUUAUACCGUUUUUAUUUACAACUACUGUUUAAGGUAUUGUCUUAUAAUAUAUAUAUACAGUAUAGUAACAAUUUGCCGGCAGUGACGUAGCCAGCUCGAUAAGUGAGGGGGACGUAUUCAUAUAUUCGUGUUUGCAUUAUUAAUUUCUUUUGAAAUUAAUUGUUUUUGCGGUCUGUGAAUACGAAUAUCUGAAUAUGUCACCCCACUUAUCGAGCUGGCUACGCCACUGUUUGCCGGUAAAGGAAUUUGUAAUUGCGGUGCCCAAAGUUUGGCACCGCAUUAUAUUCUGCCUGUGAGUUUGUCCGCUUGUUUGUUAGUUUGUUCGCAUCAACACGUUUCCUUAAUCGCCUAGUAAAAAUUCCUUGCACGUGCUCGAAAUUUAUUCAUUUGUGCAUUUUAUCUUGUACUCUCAGGAUCGACUGUUUGCUAGGCGUUAUCUCUAGUUUUAUGGGCCAAACAAGAACAACAAUACCACUGUUCGAAUCAGCGUGAAAAGUUGUAUUUAUAGAUGGAAGAUUGAUUUCAAUAUUGAUUUCUAUUCUAGCGAUUUAUGGCCUUUUAAAGGCUUUGAAAUAAUCCUUCACGUUUUCCGAAUUCCUUUUUUCGAGGAAAGUUUUCUUUUCUAUUUUAAUCUCGGAUUCUCGCGAUAGACAAAUGCUGCGCCUUAUGUCUGGUCUUAUACGACCAAUAAGGACAAUAAGGCCGUUCGAUUCAGCGUAAAGCCUAGUUUCCAUUUGGUCGUUAGUUGUCGCUGGCACGACAAGUGGCUGAUGUAAUAGAGUGUCAACAAAAACUCUGCAAUCAUUAAGACUGAUUUGCAUAUCACACAAAAAGACUAUAUAUUAUAUUGGACUAUUUCACAUCUACCGCUUGUCGUGCCAGCGACAACUAACGACCAAAUGGAAACUAGGCUUAAUUGUACUUAUGGAUGUCAAAUGUAUUACUAAACAACAGAAUUCUAGCGAUUUAUGGCCUUUGAAAGUCGAGCGAGAUUGCAUAAUUUGUCGACAAAUCGCUCAAAAUUAUUAAACUAAUUAAAAAUGCAGUACGUUCGAUUCUUGAUAACUUUCGUAUCGUUGGUUUUCUCGUUUUCGGACGUUUUUUCCCUUAUUUUGAUAGCAUUUUGAGCCCAAACUAUUUUAUUUUGAAGGUUUUAAAGUGCAGUUUUAAUAAGCGAAAUUGUAUUGUUGGCUAAAUCGUUCAAAAUUAUUAAACUAACUAAAAAUGCAGUACGUUUGACCCUUGAUAACUUUAGUAUAGUUGGUUUUGCCUUUUCAGCCCUAUACCAUAUAGGGCUGUAUAUAGGGAUGUAUAUUCAUCUCACUUUUCUCUUCAUUUUGAUAGUACUUUGAGCCCAAAAUAUUUCAUUUUGAAGGUUUUAAAGCGCAGUUUUGAUCCUAAUGUAUGGACCAACUGGCGGUCGGCAGGAAAAUGUAGCGUACCUAUACUAAUUAUAACUUUAUUUGUAGGCGGAAACGCCGGAAAUUUUAUUUGUAGGCGGGCACCGCAUUUUAGUACUGUGUCUGGUUAAUUCCUUUUUCCGGAGUAAUUUUUUCAUUGUACUUAAUUACAUUUUAGAACAAGUAAUUGUAAUCAGGAAUUUAUUACAUUUUAAAGCAAGUAAUUGUAAUUGGAAUUAAUUCCUUUUUCAGCGGUAAGUUUUCAGCCCUGAGUUUAAGAACCAAUAGAUAGAGGAGAUAAAUUUGUACAAGAUAUCAAAGUUUAAAAAAAUCCUAUUGAAUAGCAGUGGAUAAAUUUGUAGUUUAAAAUUCGUGGUAAGUUGUAUUUAAUAUUUAUUGGCAGUGUGGAUAGCUGUUAGGAAAGUAUCGUCUUGCAGUGCCUUGAGAGACGUUUUGUUGUUUUUUUUUGCAGAAACCAUAAAGGUACUAGUUAGCUAAUAUGACCUGCAUGGUUUUUUGGGUUUUUUUUUCUAAUUCAUUUGGGAGAGACAACCAUGACAACUAUAACGAAUAAUGGUAACACUAAAUAGCCAAAAAUAUCGCAGUUUUUCGAGUUUUUUUCUAAAAUGAGUUCGGUAGCCCCAAUUUUUUUCUCCAAUAAAUCAGUUACGUUAGUGUUUCAGGGUACCUUACCGAACUCGUUUUGGAAAUAAUCACGGUUUUAUUCCGCGCGGCCAAAGUUUUUCACACUCUGCAAGAUCAAUGAAUGUCAAUGUGCGUACAUGUUUUGCAGGGGCAUCUCCAGAAAAACACGCACAAAAAGGUUUUUAGUCUCGUCGAAAUAUCAAAUAUAUAUUGUGUUUUCUUGCUUAGAAAUGCAAAUAUAGUUAGUUUUGCAUGCUAACUCGGGAUAUAUAACGCCAAGAAAACAGGCGAUUGUAGGUCGUUUGGUAUAAGAUAUGUCGGCGACAUGUAUGAACUUUUUGGCUUUUCUACAUAGUUUUAUAUUCGAUCGUUUUCAGUCGUAACUUGUAUGUUUUCAUGUUGUUGUUGACAAGUUAAAGCAGUUUGAGCCGGCGCAUGAUGCUGUUUCACUGAAUUUCUUUGCUGUUAGUAACACUUUGAUACAUUUACCAGUUGUAAGUACAAAAAAACUCUGGAUAUGAACUUAUAAAUCGCCAAAUAUUAGAGUAAAAAACUUUUCGCCGAGAAAAGUUGAAAGUUGAACAUUGCAUUUUUUACCUUAAAAUGUCUUCUAAAAAGACUAGUUAUUCAAUGUUCAGAGCUAAAUCAGAACGAAGUUUGUUCUUUAAGAACAAAUGAGAACAAGGAAGACUCAAAACAUCAAAAUAAACAUGACUUGUGGUUCGGAUUUUAGACUGAGAAAGUUGUAUUUAUUUUUGCAUAUAUUUUUAACAUUUUCGCGCAAAAAUUCAAGAUUAUAGGUACCAGUCCGCCAAUGAUGAAAGUGUAUGUAGCCACCUUAAUUUAACGGUUUUAGAUCGCAAAUUGUAGUUUUUUACCUGAUGAUGGAGUAAACUCCGAAACGUAUUAAAAAAUUAAAUUAAAAAUUUAAGCCGUUGAUUAUAAGUUCGGUUUCUCUUCUUUAGCGGUUUUAUCCAAUAAUUUACAUUAUAAAAAGAAUCAAAGACGGAUACAGUCUUGAUUAUUAAAAUUCUUUUUUGUACGUCUCAAAUUUUAGAAUCAUAUGUAAAUGCUAGCCUCAGUAAUCACAGCAGAACAAGUUUGUCUUGGACAACAUUUUAUCCUCCAAGUUUGAAUGUCAUUGUUGAUGCUUUCAUUAUCGUAUGGACAAGUCUACCUCUUGGAAUCUGUAAGGAAAACUUCGUCGUCUUAAAAUCAGUAAGCUACAUACAGUUAUAUUUCUAUACUAUACCUUGAGUCCUAUAGACUGAAUGACUCAACUGACUCUCACUCAUUGAAUUUUAAGGAAACUGUAACUGUAACUACAUACAUUAAGCCAUGUGUUUAUUUGAAGUCAAAUUGGGGCUCUUUUUAAAAUUAUUGUAGUGUGUUUGUUUACGCCUGAUUAGAACCGAAAGCCAGGGGGGUGAUUGCAGUUGUAAUUUUAGAUUUGUUGCAAUGCGAUAAAAAUUGUGGAGGAGCUAGGGGCUGCGUGGAAAACUGUCAAGAUACAGUGGCAAGAUUCUUGUGCGCAUCUACUCAUAGAAUCUACUGAACGUUGUUCUAACAUAAACCUCUGCAUGAAUAUGUCUCCCACUUAAUUAAAUUGUCAUGCAAAUAUUCUGAAAUCAAUACUUAACACUUUUAAAAUGUGAUUUAAUAUCUUUUUAUUUUUCUUUCUACUUUUUUCUUUUUCUUUCAAGUGCGUUCACAAUGCAUGCAGAGAGUGCCGUUUUAAAACCCAAAAUUCGAUUUUUAUUCCGGGGUAGCAUUCCCCCGGAUACUUCUUUAAUUGUGACGAACAGAUUAAUAUGUUGCCCCUCAAAAUAUAAUACAGGCUGCGCCACGCACUGGAGAACGUGAAAUUUCCUCCAAAAUUGUCUUUUAGAUAAAACAAGCCGUAAAUGAAUUGUUUCACCCAAAAGCUUCAAUUCCAAAAUUUGAAACCUGAUCUUUUGUGUAGUUUUAAGUAUUGCACAUCCAGUUAGCAAAUGCAAAAACAUCUGAAGAAACAGUUUUCUUUUGCAAAUAUGCAAAAAUUUGGGAUUACCAAAUAAAAGAUCACUUUCGACUCCUCAAAAAACAUUUUGACGAUCUUAAAAUUUGUUUUGCACUAAAAAGCAGGUAUUGUUGUUGUUUGUAAAUUUUUAUAUUUUUAUUUUAGACACAAUCAAACUAUACAUUCCCAAAUCUGACACAUGAAUGUGGACGAAAUUACACGAUCCAAGUAUGUGUAUUUGUAAUUUAUAUGGAUUGAUAUAUUUAGAUAUUUUUAUUCCUCAAUUUACUCUAACAAAAUAUAAUAAUGAUUUGCCCGUCGCGUUUUAAGAAUCGAUUUCGAGUUUCAAACAGUUUUCCUCUUUGUUCUCUCGUAAGUGGUAUACUCGUAAGAUUUGUUCUCAUGUUGGGCAUUUUGGGCCACCUUUCUGUAUUAAUGCAUGGUUAGGAUGAUAUGAUCGUUAUUUUAUCUUGUACAAAAGUAUCAAGUUAUAUUAAAUUUGACAUAGUAAUUCCAAGAAAUCUGACGGGGUCGGUGUAAUGGGACACUUAUGCUAUAUUUUAACAGAUGUUUUUGCUUUUUAGCUGGUAGUGAGGUAUGCUAGUUACGCUGGUGAUGUAGGGUGUAACACGUCACAACCUGAAGUAUUAUUCUACAUUCCACCAGGUAUUUCCAUCUCAUAUUUUGGCACGUUUGAUAUACAUAGGCGUAAACUGUACCUGA
RNAcentral lists this long non-coding RNA (7821 nucleotides) under Paramuricea clavata. Lineage: Eukaryota; Metazoa; Cnidaria; Anthozoa; Malacalcyonacea; Plexauridae. The record is from RNAcentral.